UUCUUUUAAAUCAUAGUAUUUCAAUCAAAUCUCAGUAGCUGUGCUGAAAUGCAGUAUUAUUGCCAAAUCAUAGUAUUUGUACUGAAACAUAGUAUUUGUGCCAAAUCAUAGUAUUUAUAGCAAAUCAUAGUAUUUGUGCUAAAACAUAGUAUUUCUGCCACAUUAUAGUAUUUGUGUAAAACCAGAAUGUCUGCAAAAUCAUCAUAUAUCUGUUAUGUUAUAGUAUUACUACUAAGGCAUAGUAUUUCUGGAAAAUCAUAGUAUUUCAACUAAAUAAUAGUAUUUCUCCCAAAUCAUAGUAUUUGUUUCAAAUCAUAGCAUCUGAACCAAAUCAUAUUAUUUGUGCCAAAAAUUGUAUUUGUACAAAGUCAUAACAUCUUUUCUAAAUCAUAGUAUUUCAAUCAAAUCUCAGUAGUUGUGCUAAAACGCAGUAUUAUUGCCAAGUCAUACUAUUUCUGCCAAAUCAUAGUAUUUGUACUAAAUCAUAGUACUUGUGCCAAAUUAUAGUAUUUGUACCCAAUCAUAGUAUUUGUGCCAUAUCAUCGCAUUUGUCAGUUCAACUUAUUUAACUCUUCUCAACAGCCAAACACCUCUUCUUCACCCCGUUUCAGCAGAAUUGUGAGUUUUUUCACCCCUUUUCAGCACAAAUCCCAGAUUUUUCAGGUGUUUUCAACAGAAAUCUCUUUUUCAGCAGACAUUGUGCUGAUUCACCUUUUUUCAGUGCAACUACUUCUUUACCUCUUUUCAGUAGAAAUUCUGCUGAUUCACCUAUUUUAAGCAGAAUUUUCAGCCUUUCACCUCUUAUCAGUACAAAUCUCAGUAUCUUCUGCUCAUUUCAGAAGAAACCUUUUCACCUCUUUUCAGCAAAAGUUUCUGUUUUUUCACGUGUAUUUAGCAGAAUUUUUCAGUUUCUUUACUGCCAUACAAUUUUUGCAGCUUUUCAUCUUUUUCAGUCAUUUUCAGCAGACAGCUUCAGCGUUAAGGCAUCCACACAGCAUUUUCGCAGGAAAUGCAAAUUUUUCUAGUUGUGUGGAUGCCCUAAAAGGGCUUCCACACUAUUGUUUUCCUGUUUCUCUUUAUUCUUUAUUCUACUUUAUUCUAGUUGCUUCCGUACGUUUUUUGGCGCUUAACUACUCCCUCAGUUUUCAGCCGAUUUUCUCCAUUCAAACUUUAAAAAAUUCUGCUCUUUCUGCUAAUGUGCGCUAUAUCUUUUGGUAAUCAUAAGUUCUAUACUUUUUGAGAUAUUGAUUUUUUUAUGCAAUAUUUUUUGCCCAUUUCUGCCACAUUAUCAGUCUGGUCACUAGUUUUCCUUGCCCGGUUGCGCUGUGUUUUAGCUCAGUGAGAUGACCAGCUGUUCUCAGACUGGCAGGCCGGGGUUCAAAUCCCGCUUAUGGCAACAUUUCUUUCAGUUAACAGUUAAACUUUUUUAACUCAAUUUCAGCUUUUUCACCCCUUUUCAGCAAAAUUUUCAGUUUUUUCACCACUUUUCAGCACAAAUCCCAGCUUUUUCUGCUGUUUUCAGCAAAAACCUCUUUUCAGCAGAAUUCUAAAAGAGUUCUGCAGAACUCUUUUCAGCAGAAAUUCUGCUGAUUGAACUCUUUUCAGCAGAAUUUUCACCUCUUUUAAGGCCAAAUUCUGCUUAUUCACCUCUUCUGCAAAAUUUUCAGCCUUUUCACCUCUUAUUAGCACAAAUCUCAGCAGUUUUCAGAAAAAACACUUUUGAGCAAAAAAUUCUGCUGAUUCAUGUCUUUUCAGCGCAACUUUCUGCUUCUUUACCUCUUUUCAGCAGAAAUUCUGCUGAUUCACCUCUUUUCUGCAAAAUUUUCAGCCUUUUCUCCUCUUAUCAGCACAAUUCUCAGCAGCUUCUGCUCAUUUCAGCAGAGUUGUCCGUCUCUCCACCUUUUCUUUGUCAGAGUGAAUUUAGCUCAGUAAGAUGAGCAUCUGUUCUCAGACUGGAAGGCCGGGGUUCAAAUCCCGCUUAUGGCAACAUUUCUUUCAGUUAACAGUUAAACUUUUUUAACUCAAUUUCAGCUUUUUCACCCCUUUUCAGCAAAAUUUUCAGUUUUUUCACCACUUUUCAGCGCAAAUCCCAGCUUUUUCUGCUGUUUUCAGCAAAAACCUCUUUUCAGCAGAAUUCUAAAAAGAGUUCUGCAGAACUCUUUUCAGCAGAAAUUCUGCUGAUUGAACUCUUUUCAGCAGAAUUUUCACCUCUUUUAAGGCCAAAUUCUACUUAUUCACCUCUUCUGCAAAAUUUUCAGCCUUUUCACCUCUUAUUAGCACAAGUCUCAGCUGUUUUCAGAAAAAACUCUUUUGAGCAGAAAUUCUGCUGAUUCAUCUCUUUUCAGCGCAACUUUCUGCUUCUUUACCUCUUUUCAGCAGAAAUUCUGCUGAUUCACCUCUUUUCUGCAAAAUUUUCAGCCUUUUCUCCUCUUAUCAGCACAAUUCUCAGCAGCUUCUGCUCAUUUCACCAGAAUGGUCCGUCUCUCCACCUCUUCGUUGUCAGAGUGAGUUUAGCUCAGUGAGAUGAGUGGCUGCCUUGAGACCUGGAGGGCCAGGUUCGAAUCCUGCUCAGGGCAAUAUUUUUUUUUUUCCACCACCAUACAACUUUUUGCAACUUUUCAUCUUUUUCAGUUUUUGAGCAGACAGCUUCAGCAUUAAGGCAUCCACACAGCAUUUUCGCAGGAAAUGCAAAUUUUUCUAGUUCUUUAUUAUUCUUCAAGUUGCUUCCGUAUGUUUUUUGCCGCUUAACUACUCCCUCAGUUUUCAGCCGAUUUUCUCAGUUCAAACUUUAAAAAAUUCUGCUCUUUCUGCUAAUGUUUGCUAUAUCUUUUGGUAAUCAUAACUUCUAUACUUUUUGAGAUAUUGAAUUUUUUUUGCAAUAUUUUUUGCCCAUUUCUGCCAUAUUAUCAGUGGUGUCACUGAUUUUCCUUGCCGGGCUGAGCUGUGUUUUAGCUCAGUGAGAUGAGCAUCAGUUCUCAGACUGGGAGGCCCGGGUUCAAAUCCCACUUAUGGCAACAUUUCUUUCAGUUAACAGUUAAACUUUUUUAACUCAAUUUCAGCUUUUUCACCCCUUUUCAGCAAAAUUUUCAGUUUUUUCAUGAGUUUUCAGCACAAAUCCCAGCUUUUUCAGCUAUUUUCAGCAAAAACAUCUUUUCAGCAGAUUGCACACCUUGUGCUUUUGGGCACUCCAGUGAUGUCUCUUGGUGGCGCUGUCACUUGGUGUUCGCUCGCUUUGUGGUAGAGUAUCACUUCCUGUUCCUGCUCAAACACAGUGGUGUUUCUGAGUAGCUUUUCUGCUUAGCAAUUUAAUUUAAAUCUUUUGAUACAUCCCUUUUUCAUAGUAUAAUCUUAACGUGCUUCAUCUGAAUCACCCUUUCUGUGUACUCACUACCUAAUUUAUAGCCAAAGUAUUCACUCACUGUCUCUUUACUGUUUCGCUAGCUUAGCUUAGCUC
RNAcentral lists this long non-coding RNA (3454 nucleotides) under Oreochromis niloticus (Nile tilapia). RNAcentral describes it as "lncRNA (ENSONIG00000042195.1)". The record is from RNAcentral. Lineage: Eukaryota; Metazoa; Chordata; Actinopteri; Cichliformes; Cichlidae.